This 253-nucleotide ribosomal RNA is filed under the name uncultured bacterium. RNAcentral's name for it is "partial 16S ribosomal RNA". It matches the Rfam family "Bacterial small subunit ribosomal RNA", at positions 524 to 776 of the family's 1533-position model. The record is from RNAcentral.
UACGGGGGGGGCAAGCGUUGUUCGGAAUUACUGGACGUAAAGGGCUCGUAGGCGGCCAAUUAAGUCAGACGUGAAAUCCCUCGGCUUAACCGGGGAACUGCAUCUGAUACUGGAUGGCUUGAGUUCGGGAGAGGGAUGCGGAAUUCCAGGUGUAGCGGUGAAAUGCGUAGAUAUCUGGAGGAACACCGGUGGCGAAGGCGGCAUCCUGGACCGACACUGACGCUGAGGAGCGAAAGCCAGGGGAGCAAACGGG